UGUGAGCUCGAUGAGUAGGGCGGGACACGUGGUAUCCUGUCUGAAUAUGGGGGGACCAUCCUCCAAGGCUAAAUACUCCUGACUGACCGAUAGUGAACCAGUACCGUGAGGGAAAGGCGAAAAGAACCCCGGCGAGGGGAGUGAAAAAGAACCUGAAACCGUGUACGUACAAGCAGUGGGAGCACGCUUAGGCGUGUGACUGCGUACCUUUUGUAUAAUGGGUCAGCGACUUAUAUUCUGUAGCAAGGUUAACCGAAUAGGGGAGCCGAAGGGAAACCGAGUCUUAACUGGGCGUUAAGUUGCAGGGUAUAGACCCGAAACCCGGUGAUCUAGCCAUGGGCAGGUUGAAGGUUGGGUAACACUAACUGGAGGACCGAACCGACUAAUGUUGAAAAAUUAGCGGAUGACUUGUGGCUGGGGGUGAAAGGCCAAUCAAACCGGGAGAUAGCUGGUUCUCCCCGAAAGCUAUUUAGGUAGCGCCUCGUGAAUUCAUCUCCGGGGGUAGAGCACUGUUUCGGCAAGGGGGUCAUCCCGACUUACCAACCCGAUGCAAACUGCGAAUACCGGAGAAUGUUAUCACGGGAGACACACGGCGGGUGCUAACGUCCGUCGUGAAGAGGGAAACAACCCAGACCGCCAGCUAAGGUCCCAAAGUCAUGGUUAAGUGGGAAACGAUGUGGGAAGGCCCAGACAGCCAGGAUGUUGGCUUAGAAGCAGCCAUCAUUUAAAGAAAGCGUAAUAGCUCACUGGUCGAGUCGGCCUGCGCGGAAGAUGUAACGGGGCUAAACCAUGCACCGAAGCUGCGGCAGCGACGCUUAUGCGUUGUUGGGUAGGGGAGCGUUCUGUAAGCCUGUGAAGGUGUGCUGUGAGGCAUGCUGGAGGUAUCAGAAGUGCGAAUGCUGACAUAAGUAACGAUAAAGCGGGUGAAAAGCCCGCUCGCCGGAAGACCAAGGGUUCCUGUCCAACGUUAAUCGGGGCAGGGUGAGUCGACCCCUAAGGCGAGGCCGAAAGGCGUAGUCGAUGGGAAACAGGUUAAUAUUCCUGUACUUGGUGUUACUGCGAAGGGGGGACGGAGAAGGCUAUGUUGGCCGGGCGACGGUUGUCCCGGUUUAAGCGUGUAGGCUGGUUUUCCAGGCAAAUCCGGAAAAUCAAGGCUGAGGCGUGAUGACGAGGCACUACGGUGCUGAAGCAACAAAUGCCCUGCUUCCAGGAAAAGCCUCUAAGCAUCAGGUAACAUCAAAUCGUACCCCAAACCGACACAGGUGGUCAGGUAGAGAAUACCAAGGCGCUUGAGAGAACUCGGGUGAAGGAACUAGGCAAAAUGGUGCCGUAACUUCGGGAGAAGGCACGCUGAUAUGUAGGUGAAGUCCCUCGCGGAUGGAGCUGAAAUCAGUCGAAGAUACCAGCUGGCUGCAACUGUUUAUUAAAAACACAGCACUGUGCAAACACGAAAGUGGACGUAUACGGUGUGACGCCUGCCCGGUGCCGGAAGGUUAAUUGAUGGGGUUAGCGCAAGCGAAGCUCUUGAUCGAAGCCCCGGUAAACGGCGGCCGUAACUAUAACGGUCCUAAGGUAGCGAAAUUCCUUGUCGGGUAAGUUCCGACCUGCACGAAUGGCGUAAUGAUGGCCAGGCUGUCUCCACCCGAGACUCAGUGAAAUUGAACUCGCUGUGAAGAUGCAGUGUACCCGCGGCAAGACGGAAAGACCCCGUGAACCUUUACUAUAGCUUGACACUGAACAUUGAGCCUUGAUGUGUAGGAUAGGUGGGAGGCUUGGAAGUGUGGACGCCAGUCUGCAUGGAGCCGACCUUGAAAUACCACCCUUUAAUGUUUGAUGUUCUAACGUUGACCCGUAAUCCGGGUUGCGGACAGUGUCUGGUGGGUAGUUUGACUGGGGCGGUCUCCUCCUAAAGAGUAACGGAGGAGCACGAAGGUUGGCUAAUCCUGGUCGGACAUCAGGAGGUUAGUGCAAUGGCAUAAGCCAGCUUGACUGCGAGCGUGACGGCGCGAGCAGGUGCGAAAGCAGGUCAUAGUGAUCCGGUGGUUCUGAAUGGAAGGGCCAUCGCUCAACGGAUAAAAGGUACUCCGGGGAUAACAGGCUGAUACCGCCCAAGAGUUCAUAUCGACGGCGGUGUUUGGCACCUCGAUGUCGGCUCAUCACAUCCUGGGGCUGAAGUAGGUCCCAAGGGUAUGGCUGUUCGCCAUUUAAAGUGGUACGCGAGCUGGGUUUAGAACGUCGUGAGACAGUUCGGUCCCUAUCUGCCGUGGGCGCUGGAGAACUGAGGGGGGCUGCUCCUAGUACGAGAGGACCGGAGUGGACGCAUCACUGGUGUUCGGGUUGUCAUGCCAAUGGCACUGCCCGGUAGCUAAAUGCGGAAGAGAUAAGUGCUGAAAGCAUCUAAGCACGAAACUUGCCCCGAGAUGAGUUCUCCCUGAC
Molecule: ribosomal RNA, 2436 nt
Filed under: Escherichia coli
Lineage: Bacteria; Pseudomonadati; Pseudomonadota; Gammaproteobacteria; Enterobacterales; Enterobacteriaceae
Description: bacterial LSU rRNA
Rfam family: Bacterial large subunit ribosomal RNA
Source: RNAcentral